RNAcentral lists this ribosomal RNA (303 nucleotides) under uncultured bacterium. Its description in RNAcentral is "partial 16S ribosomal RNA". It matches the Rfam family "Bacterial small subunit ribosomal RNA", at positions 507 to 809 of the family's 1533-position model. The record is from RNAcentral.
AGCAGUAGCCGCGGUAAUACGUAGGGUGCAAGCGUUAAUCGGAAUUACUGGGCGUAAAGCGUGCGCAGGCGGUUAUAUAAGACAGAUGUGAAAUCCCCGGGCUCAACCUGGGAACUGCAUUUGUGACUGUAUAGCUAGAGUACGGCAGAGGGGGAUGGAAUUCCGCGUGUAGCAGUGUAAUGCGUAGAUAUGCGGAGGAACACCGAUGGCGAAGGCAAUCCCCUGGGCCUGUACUGACGCUCAUGCACGAAAGCGUGGGGAGCAAACAGGAUUAGAUACCCCGGUAGUCCCUGUCUCUUAUAA